This 523-nucleotide ribosomal RNA is filed under the name uncultured Paracoccaceae bacterium. RNAcentral describes it as "bacterial SSU rRNA". It matches the Rfam family "Bacterial small subunit ribosomal RNA", at positions 355 to 896 of the family's 1533-position model. Lineage: Bacteria; Pseudomonadati; Pseudomonadota; Alphaproteobacteria; Rhodobacterales; Paracoccaceae. The record is from RNAcentral.
UGGGGAAUCUUGGACAAUGGGGGCAACCCUGAUCCAGCCAUGCCGCGUGAGUGAUGAAGGCCCUAGGGUCGUAAAGCUCUUUCGCCAGGGAUGAUAAUGACAGUACCUGGUAAAGAAACCCCGGCUAACUCCGUGCCAGCAGCCGCGGUAAUACGGAGGGGGUUAGCGUUGUUCGGAAUUACUGGGCGUAAAGCGCGCGUAGGCGGAUUGGAAAGUUGGGGGUGAAAUCCCAGGGCUCAACCCUGGAACUGCCUCCAAAACUCCCAGUCUUGAGUUCGAGAGAGGUGAGUGGAAUUCCGAGUGUAGAGGUGAAAUUCGUAGAUAUUCGGAGGAACACCAGUGGCGAAGGCGGCUCACUGGCUCGAUACUGACGCUGAGGUGCGAAAGUGUGGGGAGCAAACAGGAUUAGAUACCCUGGUAGUCCACACCGUAAACGAUGAAUGCCAGACGUCGGCUAGCAUGCUAGUCGGUGUCACACCUAACGGAUUAAGCAUUCCGCCUGGGGAGUACGGCCGCAAGGUUA